This 244-nucleotide ribosomal RNA is filed under the name uncultured bacterium. RNAcentral's name for it is "partial 16S ribosomal RNA". It matches the Rfam family "Bacterial small subunit ribosomal RNA", at positions 15 to 254 of the family's 1533-position model. The record is from RNAcentral.
GAUCAUGGCUCAGAUUGAACGCUGGCGGCAGGCCUAACACAUGCAAGUCGAACGGUAACAGGAAGAAGCUUGCUUCUUUGCUGACGAGUGGCGGACGGGUGAGUAAUGUCUGGGAAACUGCCUGAUGGAGGGGGAUAACUACUGGAAACGGUAGCUAAUACCGCAUAACGUCGCAAGACCAAAGAGGGGGACCUUCGGGCCGUCUUGCCAUCGGAUGUGCCCAGAUGGGAUUAGCUUGUUUGGG